AACACUGUUCACCUGACGACCGAGGUCAGCCUGCAGGCGCCGUGCCUGCCACAAGGAGUUGCUAGAGCGCGAUGGCCAAGUAAAGCACCCCCCGGAUUACAUUUUUUGCCAUGUAGUGGUGUAACCAACUACUGGAACUACAAUAUUAUUUUUUGUGCAAAAAUAUGGGUGAAGUAGGCAAACAUUUUCUUUCUUUUUUGGCAUCAGACCUGCCUAAUUCUCACUUGAAACACUUUUUGUGUGCCUAAUUCUCAGUUGUUGUGUUUAAUAGGCUAAAUCAUUCAUUCUGUUAACAUCUGACUACAGAGUGAUCUGUCUUGCAAUUUGCAGUCUAUGACAUUUUAGAUUUAGAGAUAUUUUUUCACCAAGAAGUUUGUGAAAGUAUUUUUUUUCAAAGUAACUUUAGUUAAGUAAACUAUAUUUUUCUUAAGGGUAGCUUUAGUGUAGCUUAACUUCCUCAAGUGUUAAGUAGUUGGCAGCUUGGUAAAUUAUAUUUUCAGAGUAGCUUUCCCAACACUGCUAACUUACCAGCAAAGCCUAUGUGUGGCUGAGCAAGCCUAGCUAGUACCUUCUUUGCCAGCUCACUAACGUUAGCGAGCUACAGUAGCCCAGUUUAGACAUAACUACCAGCUAUCCUCAUUGCCACAUACCUGACUUGCUUAAUGCCAAAGUUGGAGUGCUGUAUUAAAAGUGAUAAUUUCCAACAAUUUCUAAGUCAUCCUUUUUAGGACCUUACUCAUGAAUGCUGGUGCUGUGUUAAACUUCAAACUGUGAGUAUGAUACAAUUUUUGUCUUGCCCUGAAGACAUUGUGCUAGUUGUGCCCGGUAACACUAAACAGAGAAUAUUGCUGGACCACAUAUUAUUUUUACUAGCUCAUCAACACAAGACAAUCAACACUGUCCUCUAUUACAGGAAGAGAAAGGAAUCACAAGGAGAAUUUGGAGAUGAUCCUCGUGGACCAACUACAGGUGACAACAUCAGAGUUCCUCCUAAGUCUACGCUACUUCCGGAUCUUCAUUGCCUUAUGGAACAUAUUCAUGAUGUUUUGCAUGAUUCUAUUGUUUGGAUAGUGAUCAACUUCAUUGUUGGAUUGGGAACCCCUGCAAAAAAAACACGAAAUAUUCAAAUUUUUUGAGUUGAGAUUCGUGUCGGAUCCUGUGACCAUUCUGUGCAAUAUCUUUGCGCUAGUUAGUUGUACCUGCACCAAAACUACAGUAUUUUUCCUUCAUAGCUUUUUAAAUAGGGAGCCAAUUUAGCCCUUUUAGUUCCAUGACUGACCAAAACUGGUUCUCAUGGCUCUCUCGUCCCUCUGCAGCAGACAUAUGGUUAGCAAUAUGUUUGAAACAUCGAAUCGCAAUAAAAUCACAGUAUCGAAUCGCAAUACAUAUAGAAUUGUGAGAAUCGCAAUGCAUAUUGUAUCGGCAUCUCAGUAUCGUGUUAAUAUCGAAUCAUGAGGUCCCUGGCAACUCCCAGCCCUAUUGCUGACCUGUUAUCUAUAGUCCUCCUUUUCUUCAAAACCUUGUGAAUAGAAUGAGAAAAUAUUGAAAUCCACAACCAUUUGAUAUGUUUGACGUUUGUCUUACAUAGGCCUUCUGAUGUUAAGAGCAGUCAGACUUCAUUUUAUCAUUGCUUUGUUGCAUACUUUUGUCUAUGAUCUAGUUUUGUAUAAUAAACCUUUACUCUAAAAUGCACUUGGUGUUUUCAUCAGUACCGUUUUCAUCUCUUCUUUUCUUUUCCUUUCCUAAUUUAGGAUUUGAGCAGUGUGUCAUCUGAUUCAGUGGUUCUCAACCUUAUUUGGUUCCUGCACUCAAUCACAUUGUGCAUUGUUUGACACACACUAGCUCAUCUGUGUAAACAUGUUAUAGUUUAAAU
Long non-coding RNA from Coregonus clupeaformis (lake whitefish), 1873 nucleotides. RefSeq lists it as uncharacterized. The record is from RefSeq and is a predicted model, not a curated record. NCBI's taxonomy places the organism in Eukaryota, Metazoa, Chordata, Actinopteri, Salmoniformes, Salmonidae. The transcript is spliced from 3 exons.